GGUAACUCCGGGCGGGAGGCGGGGGUAAUACGUGGGGGGCGAGCUUUGUCCGGAAUGAUUGGGCGUAAAGCGCGGGUAGGCGGCCCGGGAAGUCCGCUGUGAAAGUCGGGGGCUCAACCCUCGGAUGCCGGUGGAUACUGUCGGGCUCGAGUACGGAAGAGGCGAGUGGAAUUCCUGGUGUAGCGGUGAAAUGCGCAGAUAUCAGGAGGAACACCAAUUGCGAAGGCAGCUCGCUGGGACGUCACUGACGCUGAGACGCGAAAGCGUGGGGAGCAAACAGGAUUAGAUACCCGGGUAGUC
RNAcentral lists this ribosomal RNA (300 nucleotides) under uncultured Lactobacillus sp. Its description in RNAcentral is "bacterial SSU rRNA". It matches the Rfam family "Bacterial small subunit ribosomal RNA", at positions 496 to 795 of the family's 1533-position model. Lineage: Bacteria; Bacillati; Bacillota; Bacilli; Lactobacillales; Lactobacillaceae. The record is from RNAcentral.